Non-coding RNA from Salmo salar (Atlantic salmon), 7777 nucleotides. The record is from RefSeq and is a predicted model, not a curated record. NCBI's taxonomy places the organism in Eukaryota, Metazoa, Chordata, Actinopteri, Salmoniformes, Salmonidae.
CACUUAACUUCUACAACUCAUUGUACAUGUAUAAUUGUGGCAUUUUUCCACAUCUUUGCUUAUUUCAUGUUUAUAUUUUUAAGAUCCUUAACGGGUCCAUAUUUUCUCUUUCGGGAAAAGUUAUCUUUUUGUAUUUAUUGUAUAUAAAGUUAAAGAAUUGAAUGUUGGCGUUACAGUAGUGUUAGUGACUUUAUGUUGUGUAAUGCUGGUAAAUGUGCAUGCCAAAUUAUAACUCUAAGUAUAGUAGUUUCCAGAGAAUACCCCUAAUGUCAUUGUUAAACCAUUUGGUACAAACUAACUGUUAUUUCAUAGACUUUACCCAUAUUUACCCACUGACUGUUUUGAACAUGGGAAUGAAUCCUCGUUGAACUGAAGAAAAUGCGAUGACAUGAAGGAAAAGAGAACUGUUUAGAAGUAUUGAUGCUGCCAAAAUGAUGAUACGUGGAAAGUCCCAUUUCCAAAUGGUAGCACCAUUGUAGAGAAAACCAGUUAAUAUUUGUGAACGAUGCACAUCACCAUGUUAAGUUAUAGUAACCCUGUAAUAAUUAGAUGCAUACUUGCACCCUGUGACACAAUCCAAUGUGAGAAUGACAGAACUAUUACAUUGAUCUCUAUCUCUACAUGGAUAUUUCACCAAUCCAGCCAAUAACAAUGACAUGUUUAUAACAGGCCCGAUUCAGACUUGAGAUAAGUAUACUUAACAUGGACUUAAGACAACAUAUACAUGUCUGAAUUGGGCCCAACAUGAGUAACAGGACAAUCAUACACAGACAGUAUUGACAGUUUUUUUCCCCCACAUGGCUUUGUUAGUUUGUUAGUUGAUAUUUCUCCUCAUAAGGUUAAGAUGUACGUCCCAACUCGCACCCUUUUCCCUUCAUAGUGCACCAGAGCCUUGGUCAAAAGUGGUUCACUAUUAAAAGACUAGGGUGCCAUUUAGGACAUAAUCUAGAAUUGCCAUAGUCUGUUGUAACCUAGUAGUACCCAACGCUGCUUUGACUUUUUCCUCUUUUAAAGUGUUUUAAACUUCAAUAAAGAUGCCAUAGCUCAGGGCUAGGGGGAGUGUUGUCUUGUCUGGUUGAGGCAUGUAGCCUAGCGGACCAGUAACCGAAAGGUCGCUGGUUCGAAUCCCGAACUGAUUAGGUAAAAAAAUAUUGAGCAGGGCACGUAACCUUAGUUGCUCUGGAUAAGAGUUGUCUCUACUGUGACUUACUGCUCACAAGGGUUGGGGUCAACCAAAAUAGGGUGUUGGCUGUGAAACAUAUUGUUCUUCUCUGUACAUUGUUUGGGGUCUUGACAUGGUGAAAUAACUCAAUAGAUUGGUAACUAUGUGUGUUCUAAUUUGGCACACAGACACCAGAGCCCAUGAGUAACUUGGUGAAAGAAUGGCACCGACUGGCCUGUAGGAGGCGCUGUUAUAAGAAGUUAUAAGAAGUCUCACUUUGACCGAGAGACCUGAAACUUUGUAUGUUAGGUGUUUUUACUCAUGCUAAACAAAUAUACCUCAAGGACCCAUAGGAUAGAUUUUCCUCCAUCUUGGAAAACUUUAGAAGAAAAAAAAGGUUUUCUCAUGAACCAGAAGACCAAAUAACACAUUGUCUAUGUAUGGUAGAUUAUAUCAAUUUAGUUUGACUAAGGGAUUGGUUAAGAGAUGGCUGAGUUAUUGAUAAAUCAGGAAACAUUUUUAGGGUCAUUACCAUGAUGAACCAUGUUAAGUCUGGAAUUGAAAUCUUUAAAAAAUAAGGGAAAAUAUUAACGAUACACUUUUUUGACUAUUUAACACUAAUGUUUUAAAUAAUAAUAAAAAAAUCUUCUUCUCCUGGACUAAAAGUCAGAUUCACUCCAGAUUUGUUCUUUGGAUCACAAUAGUCCCUAAAUAGUUUGAGAAAAUAAAGCUGAUGCAUUCAAAGAUGGCCACACUAUACCAGUAGAUGCAUAUUAGCACAUACUGUAUGUUAAUAUGCAAAAUUAUGCAAAAAAUACUUUAAAAAAAUAUUAUUCUCAUGAAACAUAUGUCCAAAUGACACCAAAUUAGAAAUGUAGUCCCAUGGUACAUGUCGUAGUUUGAGAAAAGCUGAGGGAUUGGUUACGAGAUGGCUGAGUUAUUGACAUGUCUAAAAUCUGAUUUCACCUGUCCAUUUAAACCACUGUAAAUCCAGUCCACAGUCAGGGCUAUCAACUUGAAACUCAUCGCUAUUAUGGACAUCCCUAAGAUGAACCUCACUGAAUUUGAUAUUGAUAGAUAUAAAAAAAAGGAAAUUAUUAACAACUCAUUCUUUGCAAAUGUAACACUAAAAGCUCAAAAAUCAUCUGCAGUCAUCAUCUCCCCAUGACGUCAGAUUCACCCCACAUUUUGUAUGUAGACUCUUUGUAUCAGUCUUUAAUGGUUUUGAGAUUUUUCUGUUGCUGCAUUCAAAUAUGGCCACUCUGUACCUAUAUAUGUACGUUAGCACAUAUGCUAAUGUUAAAAUACUUUAAACAUCUUCUCAUUAGAAAACUUGUCAGAUUGACUCCAGAUUUGGUAUAUAGACUCAAUGAAUGAUCUUCUAAUGAAUCUGAGAAUGAUUACUUGCUGCAUUCAAAGUCAGACAUGCUAUACCACUAAAUGACACCGUAUCACACCAGGGCUAUAAGAAUUGAACCGAUGGACAAGGGCCAUGAAAUGUGGUAUGUAAACCUAAUGUAUAUGUCCUUAGAAGCUGUGUGAAUAAAAGUCACUGCAACCUUAGAUGGCAGACCAGUUGAUGGCACUAUAGAUGUCAUCGGCACCACUAUAGAUGUCAUUGGCACCAGUGGCACCAUAGGAUCUAGAGCAAUAAAUAUUGAUAAAGUGGACUUUGUUUCAUGCAAAUGAAUGUUAGAUUUAAAUUAUGAAGAUAAACAAUAUGAAAUAUCUUGAUUAGUAUUUCUGUAUUAUCACAUAUUGUUGCCUUUUUAUGUGGCUUGCGUAGUCAGCAUAUAUAACACUCAAUACAUGAAGGAAUGGCUUUAAGAAUGAUUACCUGCUUCAUUCAAAAUAACCAACCUACAUUACUAGACUAAACUUCACUUGCAUCAUCCUUGUGGUAUUGAGAUAAACAUGGUAAUGCUUUCACUGAUUGCACACAAAGGAAGAUAGUUCCUACAUGAUAGAGUGCUUGCUUUGUUAUCUAACUGAUCUUGUGUCCUUUUUGUCAUCCUGUGAACCCCGUUCAUUGCUGCUCACUGCUAUUUUUCCAAUUUCACAUUUUCCUAAAUGAAAAGCAUUGAAGAGAAUUGGAAUUUCAGUGUAAUUGACCCCAACCGUGCUGCUCGCCAUGUAUUCCUUGUCAGAAAAUAUUGGCCGAUAAUUUGUUACCAAAUGAAAUGUCCGAUAAUUUGUUACCAAAUGAAAUGUCCGACAUUUUGUUACUAAAUUAAAUGUCUGACAUUUUGUUACUAAAUUAAAUGUCCGAUAAUUUGUUCCCAAAUUAAAUGUUAUUCUGCCUUUGUAUGCAAUUACCAACUAAGAGAGUUGAAAUGUUUAUGACUGGUGCGCUUUAUUAAGAUGAAUUGAUAACUUAAGAUUAAACAAAAACACAAUUAUACAAUUGAUCAAUCUGUACAAAACAUAAAACCGUCCGUUUCGACUACCCCCCCACACACACAUAAUCCUCCAAAUGCAUUGAAAUUACAUCGUUUGUCUUUCAAAUGUUUUACAAUGGAAUUACAAUCAGUUAUAGUGACAGCAUGUCAUUAUAGUUCAACAACAAUCAUGAACUAAAAACAUAGUUCAUUAAAAAACAAUGGAGGUAUAUGAGAAGGCUUGAAAUCAUUUUUCAAACAAGGACAAAAACAAUCACUUCUCUACACUUCCAUAGACUGCUAGUCCGAAAAAGGAUCCUAUAUACCCUAUCUAGUGCACUACUUUUGACCAGAUCCCUAUGGGCCCUGGUCAACAGUAGUGCACUAGAUAGGGAAUAUGGUGCCCUAGUUGUGUGUUGACAGGCUGACAGUACCGUCUGUUAGAUAACGCCAUUGGUACUGUCAGACGGACACACUCACUCAAUAGCUACCUACCUUUGCUUCUAUACACACACACACACUCACGCACACACACACACACACGCACGGCUCAAGCGCUAUAUUUCCAUGGUUACAAUACCAGCAUCACACGCAGAUACAGCUACAGUAGGAGUUCAACAGAACACUCUGAAUUAGCCUGGAAUCACAACUGAUUUAGCUACAUUUCACUGUUGUUUCAAAUGGUGAGCGCAGCACUCAAGUCUGGUUUAACCAGGCUAACUCUGAAAUAUUAGUCAUGUGAUUUAGCAGGAACCUCCGUCCUACAUCAGUGACAGAGCAGUGGAACUAUAGAUGGGUUGCCUGGCAACGUUACAACAAUGAUGUAAACUGAUUUUUUUUAUUUUUUAUAAACAUUUACAGACUAAAUAUAGUUUACAUGUUGUCAAUAAUCCUAUGAUUGUAAGCCAACCCUGUCAGUUUCCUGCCUCUCGGAUGCGCGAGCCAGGGUUGGCGUCAAUUCCAUUUCAAUUCGUAAAAGUAAACAAUUCACACAAAAGAAAUUCAUUGAAAAGAGAAUUUGAACUUCCUGAAUUGACUGGAAUUUAAAUGGAAUUCACCCCAACCCUGGCAUCGGUUUUGUACGUAAACAUCCCAUCCGUAUACAGGAUGGAGGCUAUGUAGUGACAUUAGUGCCACCAGGAAUGUCAUUUGAAUUCAGAAAUGUCAUUUUAGUUCUAUUUCUGGUGGUAGUAAUAUUAGCCUGGGUGCCAGUCUGUUUAUGCUCUCUUCCCAACUCCAUAUGGAACUGUCAUGUAAAACAUGGUUUGGCUUGACAAUGGACUAGGGAAAAACAAAAACAGAUCUGGGACCAGGCUAUAGUAAUAUCACUACAUUAGAGGCAGAUCUGGGACCAGGCCAUAGUAAUAUCACUACAUUAGAGGCAGAUCUGGGACCAGGCCAUAGUAAUAUCACUACAUUAGAGGCAGAUCUGGGACCAGGCUAUAGUAAUUUCACUACAUUAGAGGCAGAUCUGGGACCAGGCCAUAGUAAUAUCACUACAUUAGAGGCAGAGCUGAGACCAGGCUAUAGUAAUAUCACUACAUUAGAGGCAGAUCUGGGACCAGGCCAUAGUAAUAUCACUACAUUAGAGGCAGAUCUGAGACCAGGCUAUAGUAAUAUCACUACAUUAGAGGCAGAUCUGGGACCAGGCCAUAGUAAUAUAACCUCAUAAGAGGUCCACUCUAGGGACUUGUUAAGCAUGGCAUCUAGCUCCAGCAUCCAGGUGGGGAUUAUCAGGUUACAUUACCCCUCUCAUGGUUGGGUUUCAAUACCAUUUUAAUACAGUCAAUCCAGGAAAUAAAUCCAGGAAAUACAUUUCAUUUCAAUUUACUUUCUGGAUUGUCUGAACUGAACCAUCUAACGGUUCUAGCCUUUGUUAGCCUCAACACACAUCACUGUUCCUCUGCCUAAAACAGGUGGCUUAUCUUAUAGAGAGAGAUAUACAUGAAUGGGUUAAUAUGGAACAAACAGACCUCAGCAGAACAGAUAUAUAAUACUACUACUAAUAAUAAUGACCUAGCUACAUACGUAAGGCAUAAUAAUCAUUUUGGUUGGGACUAUAUUAAUGAAGUAGAAAGCCAUGCAUUGUGUUGAAGUAAGAGGCAGCUUGGUGUAAACAGGCUUUAAUGUGACGGACUGUGAUAACACUGGACAACGUGAUAAGAGUCAGACCAGAUCUGGGCAGAAACUACAUAACUGUGUCUAAAAAUACUUUUAAAUACUUCAUAUUUGAGAAAAGACUGGGAAAUAAUUUUAAAGUAUUUCCAAGUAUUUUGAGGUGUGCAUGAUUUAGCUUAGUGGGUUUGCACUUUUGGGACUAUUCUGUUGGUCCCAUUGAACAAGGCAAACCGAAUCCGCUCAAGUAUUUAGAAGUAUUUGAUCCAGGUCUGUCUGGUGAUAGCUGGAGCUAUAUAGGUGGUUAGUUGGCCAGUAGGAACGUUCUAUAGUAGAUGGUAGUAGAGGUGGUUAGUUGACCAGUAGGAACGUUCUAUAGUAGAUGGUAGUAGAGGUGGUUAGUUGGCCAGUAGGAACGUUCUAUAGUAGAUGGUAGUAGAGGUGGUUAGUUGACCAGUAGGAAUGUUCUAUAGUAGAUGGUAGUACAGGUGGUUAGUUGGCCAGUAGGAACGUUCUAUAGUAGAUGGUAGUACAGGUGGUUAGUUGGCCAGUAGGAACGUUCUAUAGUAGAUGGUAGUAGAGGUGGUUAGUUGGCCAGUAGGAACGUUCUAUAGUAGAUGGUAGUAGAGGUGGUUAGUUGACCAGUAGGAACGUUCUAUAGUAGAUGGUAGUAGAGGUGGUUAGUUGACCAGUAGGAACGUUCUAUAGUAGAUGGUAGUAGAGGUGGUUAGUUGACCAGUAGGAACGUUCUAUAGUAGAUGGUAGUAGAGGUGGUUAGUUGACCAGUAGGAACGUUCUAUAGUAGAUGGUAGUAGAGGUGGUUAGUUGGCCAGUAGGAACGUUCUAUAGUAGAUGGUAGUAGAGGUGGUUAGUUGGCCAGUAGGAACGUUCUAUAGUAGAUGGUAGUAGAGGUGGUUAGUUGACCAGUAGGAACGUUCUAUAGUAGAUGGUAGUAGAGGUGGUUAGUUGGCCAGUAGGAACGUUCUAUAGUAGAUGGUAGUAGAGGUGGUUAGUUGACCAGUAGGAACGUUCUAUAGUAGAUGGCAGUAGAGGUGGUUAGUUGGCCAGUAGGAACGUUCUAUAGUAGAUGGUAGUAGAGGUGGUUAGUUGGCCAGUAGGAACGUUCUAUAGUAGAUGGUAGUAGAGGUGGUUAGUUGACCAGUAGGAACGUUCUAUAGUAGAUGGCAGUAGAGGUGGUUAGUUGGCCAGUAGGAACGUUCUAUAGUAGAUGGCAGUAGAGGUGGUUAGUUGGCCAGUAGGAACGUUCUAUAGUAGAUGGUAGUAGAGGUGGUUAGUUGGCCAGUAGGAACGUUCUAUAGUAGAUGGUAGUAGAGGUGGUUAGUUGACCAGUAGGAACGUUCUAUAGUAGAUGGUAGUAGAGGUGGUUAGUUGACCAGUAGGAACGUUCUAUAGUAGAUGGUAGUAGAGGUGGUUAGUAGAGUUAUUGGAUUUGAAUGAGUGGUAGAGGGAGGCACAGAGUGAACAGCAGCUAAACUAAAUAAUGUGACCCAGUAUAUGGAUGUCACCCUGUUCCCUAUCUAGUGCACUACUUUAGACCAGAACCCAAUUCCCUAUAUUGUGCACUACUUUAGACCAGAGCCCUAUUCCCUAUAUUGUGCACUACGUUAGACCAGAGCCCUAUUCCCUAUCUAGUGCACUACUUUUCACAAAAGCCCUAUGAGCCUGGUCAAAGGUAGUGAACUAAUAGGGAAUAGGGUGACAUUUGGGACAAAGAUCCAAUCUAUGUAUUUAAAACAUGUUGUUUUACUAACAGAAGCUUCUUGACACGAGUGAUAAACUGAUGGACAUUCUGAACACAUCUCCUAACUAGAGCAGUAAUACAAGGCUAGAUUACCACUCUGAUUCCUACUGAAUCAUCUCUGUCAGCAACUCAUUUCAUAGCUUCUUUUCACAGUUUGAUAUUUCGUCAAAUAAAAUAAUGUCAAUUAAUAUUCUCUGGUAUCGGACUGUCGCUGCAUAGAAUAUAGUAUAGCAUCACAUUUACACUAGAUGUAUACAUGCACAUUCAAUACAAGUUAUUACUUGAAGAGAAAUACCUAGAAUUUGUUGGUUAGUCUAUAUGUUGUUUACAUAUUUUAUAUGUUUAAUGUUGUUUACAUAU